Molecule: ribosomal RNA, 800 nt
Filed under: uncultured bacterium
Lineage: Bacteria
Description: bacterial SSU rRNA
Rfam family: Bacterial small subunit ribosomal RNA
Source: RNAcentral
AGAGUUUGAUCCUGGCUCAGAACGAACGCUGGCGGCAGGCUUAACACAUGCAAGUCGAGCGCCCCGCAAGGGGAGCGGCAGACGGGUGAGUAACGCGUGGGAACAUACCCUUUGGUUCGGAAUAACUCAGGGAAACUUGAGCUAAUACCGGAUACGUCCGUAAGGAGAAAGAUUUAUCGCCAAAGGAUUGGCCCGCGUCCGAUUAGCUAGUUGGUGAGGUAACGGCUCACCAAGGCUACGAUCGGUAGCUGGUCUGAGAGGAUGAUCAGCCACAUUGGGACUGAGACACGGCCCAAACUCCUACGGGAGGCAGCAGUGGGGAAUAUUGGACAAUGGGCGCAAGCCUGAUCCAGCCAUGCCGCGUGAGUGAUGAAGGCCUUAGGGUUGUAAAGCUCUUUUGUCCGGGAAGAUAAUGACUGUACCGGAAGAAUAAGCCCCGGCUAACUUCGUGCCAGCAGCCGCGGUAAUACGAAGGGGGCUAGCGUUGUUCGGAAUCACUGGGCGUAAAGCGCACGUAGGCGGACCGUUAAGUCGGAGGUGAAAGCCUGGGGCUCAACCCCAGAACUGCCUUCGAUACUGGCGGUCUUGAGUAUGGUAGAGGUUGGUGGAACUCCGAGUGUAGAGGUGAAAUUCGUAGAUAUUCGGAAGAACACCAGUGGCGAAGGCGGCCAACUGGACCAUUACUGACGCUGAGGUGCGAAAGCGUGGGGAGCAAGCAGGAUUAGAUACCCUGGUAGUCCACGCUGUAAACGAUGAGAGCUAGCCGUUGGGGUGCAUGCACCUCAGUGGCGCAGCUAACG